Long non-coding RNA from Lineus longissimus, 1396 nucleotides. RefSeq lists it as uncharacterized. The transcript has 3 exons. Lineage: Eukaryota; Metazoa; Nemertea; Pilidiophora; Heteronemertea; Lineidae. The record is from RefSeq and is a predicted model, not a curated record.
CUCGAGAUCUACAUUUUCGACAAAGGCCUGGUGUAAUAUUACGUACUUGAUGAAGGUUUAAUGACAUGAAUGAGUACAAGUACAUUACAUUUUUCGACGAAGGCCUUCUGUAAUUUCAUACGCUUCUUACGCAACAUUCAAUAGAUUUAUUAACUGUAUUAUCAUUUCGACCAAGGCGAAUUCGACACUUCAAUUACACAAGGUUAGUAACUUUUGUUCACAAAAUCCAAAUGGAGGCAAAUACAGAACAAUCAAACUUAGUCAUUCCAGUCAGUUACUAAAGCACAGUGAAAACUGUCGGGAGCAGUGCAACUUAUGGCAUGUCAAACUUCCAGUGACUGUCCCUGUCCAUAUAUUUCAAGACAGUACAAAUCUUGUAAUCAUUUUGUUUAUGCAAUGUACGUUAUUAUGUAUCAUUUCAGCACAAUCAAACUUAGUCAUUCCAGUCAGUUACUGAAGCACAGCGAAAACUGUCUGAAUUAGUGCUGCUGAUGGCAUGUAAUUACUCUACUACCACUACCAGUGACAGUCAAUGUCCAUAUAUUUUCAAGUGUGCGAAAUUAGUACUCGUCUAAUUCUUACUGUUAUUUGAAUGCAAUGUAUGUUAUAAAAAUAUUUUUUCAACACUAUAUCAACAUUCUCAUUCCUGUCAGUUUCUGAAAAUCAGCUAAAGCAAUCGCUACCAAUGCAGCUGAUAACAGCAAUUCUUUUUGUUCCCAAUGCCCAUCCAUGACAAUAUAUUUCACGCAUGUGACAAUCAUGUAAUCAUCCUGUUUUUUGUGUUCUAUUCAUGCAAUAAAUAAAUUCAGUAUUUUCAAAUCAUUGGUGCUACAAAACUAUUCUCAUUAUAGAUUAUUCAUAUUUUAUAAAAUGCUGUCAUGUCAAAUUUUGUGUCCUAUAAAUCAUUAUGAAGUCGGCAUUUUAUAUACAACUUUUGUACUCCUCCAAAAUAAACAUACAAAUCUUGUUUUAUGUAAACUUUGUAUAUGUGACCCGUCACAGCAAAACCAGGCGCAUGUCGUUCUGAGCUUGGCAGGUUGAGACGGACUGUUUGUUCAUUUAUCUAUUGUCUGCCUUUUGUAAAAUAUGAGCACAUCAAUUUCUUCCAUUAUCUCCUGGUGUCAUUUAGGCUCAUCUUCUGUGCGACAUGUACCUGGUUUUGCUGUGACGGGUCACAUAUUCUAUAGAUAUACAACACUCUAAUGUCACAAUCAAUGCCUCUCUCACUCGCUUUUAUAUAGCAAGAUGUAUGAAUAAACAUGACACACCAACUAUGUAUAAAAUUGCUAACAAACUGCACCAUUUGUCAGUACACCACAUGAAAUACAGAGAUAUGUCUUAAUUCUAAUCUUUCAUUAGCGACACCAUUUCUUACCCGAGUGCCUCCUUCAUUCAU